Molecule: RNase P RNA, 167 nt
Filed under: Gammaproteobacteria bacterium
Lineage: Bacteria; Pseudomonadati; Pseudomonadota; Gammaproteobacteria
Description: partial RNase P RNA component class A
Rfam family: Bacterial RNase P class A
About the family: Ribonuclease P (RNase P) is a ubiquitous endoribonuclease, found in archaea, bacteria and eukarya as well as chloroplasts and mitochondria.
Source: RNAcentral
GGAGUUGGUCAGGCAAUCGCUGCAGUCUUGGACUGUGGAGGAAAGUCCGGGCUCCACAGGGUAGGGCGCCAGGUAAUUCCUGGGGGGCGUGAGCCUACGGAAAGUGCAACAGAGAGUAGACCGCCCGGUUACCUCGUAAUCGGGUAAGGGUGAAAGGGUGCGGUAAG